UAGGGAAUCUUCCGCAAUGGGCGAAAGCCUGACGGAGCAACGCCGCGUGAGUGAUGAAGGUCUUCGGGUCGUAAAACUCUGUUAUUAGGGAAGAACAAAUGUGUAAGUAACUAUGCACGUCUUGACGGUACCUAAUCAGAAAGCCACGGCUAACUACGUGCCAGCAGCCGCGGUAAUACGUAGGUGGCAAGCGUUAUCCGGAAUUAUUGGGCGUAAAGCGCGUGUAGGCGGUUUUUUAAGUCUGGUGUGAAAGCCCGCGGCUCAACCGUGGAUGGUUAUUUGAAACUGGAAAACUUGAGUGCAGGAGAGGAAAGUGGAAUUCCAUGUGUAGCGGUGAAAUGCGCAGAGAUAUGGAGGAACACCAGUGGCGAAGGCGACUUUCUGGUCUGUAACUGACGCUGAUGUGCGAAAGCGUGGGGAUCAAACAGG
Molecule: ribosomal RNA, 429 nt
Filed under: Actinomycetes bacterium
Lineage: Bacteria; Bacillati; Actinomycetota; Actinomycetes
Description: Actinobacteria bacterium partial 16S ribosomal RNA
Rfam family: Bacterial small subunit ribosomal RNA
Source: RNAcentral